UCUUUAGACAGAGUCUGUUCUUGUUCCAUAGAUUUUGGUUUUAGGCAGAUUGUAGUUGUUUUUUUUUCGAAGAAGAAGUCGGCAGCUUAAACAAUCUGGACUUUUGGCUUACAGUUUUGAACUUAUUUCUUACUGAUUGAGAAGGGUUAACACUACUUGAAGGAAACUUGUAUAUAAAGUGAUUUAUGUUCUUAAUCUAAGGGCUUCUCUGUUGUGUCUUGUUUAUUUUAGUGGAGUGAGUUUCCAGCAUGUGUGUCUAUGUUGCAGGAGUAAAAUGAAAAGAAAUUCCCUUAUCCUAAACAUGAAAAUUUGAGAGAGGCAGAGGGUUGUAUGCAACAUAAAUGUUUCUUUUUCUCCCUUUACUUUUAUCAUGUGGUGUUCUAAGCAUGCUUUAGGUUUGAUUACUACAUGAUGACAUGAAAUUCUGGUUGGGAGGAAGGUGGAGGUGAAAUUACCUCUUGGAGAAAUUACUAACUUGGUAUUUGUUGUUAGAAAACAAAGCUUGCCCUCCUCCUUUAGAGUUCCUAGUUGCAGUGACAAAGAAAGGGGGGUGAAACUGAGUUCUCCUUUUUUGAAUGAAGAGAGAUUCUUGGAGAUGAGGAAGGAGGAAGACAUGUUACCUAAGGGAUGCAGGGCUGCUGUAAGAAAGCCUGCAGAAUCCUACUCCAAGCUCUCUCUCUAACUCUUAAUUUGCUGAAAUUUCCAGUGCAUUGAAGGGAGUCUAACGGUGGGGUUGAGGGGGUUUUAUAGGCUGAUUUUGUACCUUAGGAGAAUUAAUUGAAAGCUGAUUUCCCACUUGUCCUCAUGUUGAAACCUAUCUCACUUUUGUGAUUUAGUAGUACUCUACACUAAAUGCAAUUUGGUCUUUAGUUGGAGAUUACAAGUCCCCUCAAAACUGAUUUUGGUUGAUUGUGUGACUAGGAAAGCUGGUGCACAGGGGCUGUUUUGGAGGAGCAAAAAAAAUGGCAGCUUUGACUUGCCUCUCUUGGUUUUGUAGGUGAGAAAGGAAGGUGUGGCUAUUGUGUUGUUCUCGGGCUAGGCUCGCUCCCCUCGGCCCGACGGACUGCUCAAAGACGGGCUAUAGUUCGGGCCUGGAGAAGAGGCCCGAAGUGCAUCAAAAAUUUAUCUUUUCUUUUCUUUGUUUUCUUUAUUUGAAGCCUUGUUCCAUGUAUUAUUAUUUUUUUUGAAGUUAGUAGUUCGUUUAUUGUAUAUGAAACGCUAUUCGAAUUUCUUUAUACUUGGGAAAAGACUUCUUGUC
Salvia hispanica is the source of this 1258-nucleotide long non-coding RNA. RefSeq lists it as uncharacterized. The record is from RefSeq and is a predicted model, not a curated record. Lineage: Eukaryota; Viridiplantae; Streptophyta; Magnoliopsida; Lamiales; Lamiaceae.